Molecule: ribosomal RNA, 243 nt
Filed under: uncultured Actinomycetales bacterium
Lineage: Bacteria; Bacillati; Actinomycetota; Actinomycetes; Actinomycetales
Description: partial 16S ribosomal RNA
Rfam family: Bacterial small subunit ribosomal RNA
Source: RNAcentral
UACUCGAGUGGCGAACGGGUGAGUAACACGUGGGUGAUCUGCCCUGCACUUCGGGAUAAGCUUGGGAAACUGGGUCUAAUACCGGAUAGGACCGCACUUUAGUGUGUGUGGUGGAAAGUUUUUUCGGUGUAGGAUGAGCCCGCGGCCUAUCAGCUUGUUGGUGGGGUAAUGGCCUACCAAGGCGGCGACGGGUAGCCGGACUGAGAGGUUGGUCGGCCACAUUGGGACUGAGAUACGGCCCAG